This 429-nucleotide ribosomal RNA is filed under the name Gemmatimonadota bacterium. RNAcentral's name for it is "Gemmatimonadetes bacterium partial 16S ribosomal RNA". It matches the Rfam family "Bacterial small subunit ribosomal RNA", at positions 355 to 776 of the family's 1533-position model. Lineage: Bacteria; Pseudomonadati; Gemmatimonadota. The record is from RNAcentral.
UAGGGAAUCUUCGGCAAUGGACGAAAGUCUGACCGAGCAACGCCGCGUGAGUGAAGAAGGUUUUCGGAUCGUAAAACUCUGUUGUUAGAGAAGAACAAGGACGUUAGUAACUGAACGUCCCCUGACGGUAUCUAACCAGAAAGCCACGGCUAACUACGUGCCAGCAGCCGCGGUAAUACGUAGGUGGCAAGCGUUGUCCGGAUUUAUUGGGCGUAAAGCGAGUGCAGGCGGUUUCUUAAGUCUGAUGUGAAAGCCCCCGGCUCAACCGGGGAGGGUCAUUGGAAACUGGGAGACUUGAGUGCAGAAGAGGGGAGUGGAAUUCGAUGUGUAGCGGUGAAAUGCGUAGAUAUAUGGAGGAAAACCAGUGGCGAAGGCGGCUCUCUGGUCUGUAACUGACGCUGAGACUAGAAAGCGUGGGGAACAAACAGG